AAUGAUCGAUAUCAAAUUUUUAGUUAAAUUAAGAAUAGAAUACUAAUUAUAAAAUAUUUAUGGAUUAUUAAAUGUUUUGGUGAUAGAUUUGUCAAAAAUAAAGAUAUACUAUGAUAUAAUUUAUUAAUUUUAAUAAAUUUAUGACAUGUUUCAAAAUUUUGGAUUAGCCUUUGCGGAAUUGGCUUUUUAACCAGAGAGAGAAACUAACUUUAUUGUAAUAGAUAUGUAAGUUGCAUACAUAAAAAGAAGAAUAAGCAACCGUGUGGAUGUGUCUAGGUUUGUGUUCAAAUAGGGAUUUAUCAAAAUGGUAAUGUGAGCGUGAAAAUCUGAAAACAUUGGAAUACAAAAUGCUAAAAGUGUGUUGGAUCUCUUAUAAAGUCAGAGACACAGAUGCAUAGCUUUCGCACCAAGUCUGUGUUGCAUUGCAUAGCAAUUGAAUUAUGUACAUACAGUCCAGUCCUGGUUCUCUUAAUGAUCGAAAAACAAAUAGUAGAGAUUUGAUGAUCAAGCACGUUUUUUUUUUCUUGUUGGAUAUAUUUCAGUUUACCAUGGAGAUACAAAUUUUAAUGAAAUAGUCAUUUUUUA
Molecule: long non-coding RNA, 585 nt
Filed under: Brassica napus (rape)
Lineage: Eukaryota; Viridiplantae; Streptophyta; Magnoliopsida; Brassicales; Brassicaceae
Description: long non-coding RNA (BNAP_LNC001186)
Source: RNAcentral